Molecule: long non-coding RNA, 218 nt
Filed under: Gossypium barbadense (sea-island cotton)
Lineage: Eukaryota; Viridiplantae; Streptophyta; Magnoliopsida; Malvales; Malvaceae
Description: long non-coding RNA (GBAR_LNC021395)
Source: RNAcentral
CCUUUCAACAUUUGGGUCACUAAAUUUGAAAUUGAUAGGGUCACACUCCUAAACUGGUGAAGAACUUUUUCAAUAUUGUUUUCUUUUUCUUAAUUACAAGACUCGAAAUCAAAACCUUAUUUAAGAGAUAUUAAACUUGACCUAACAGAUACUGGGUUAGAUGUGCCAUUGCUGCUUUGUCUACCAGCUUUCUGGUACUAAAGAUGAAUAGUUUUGGG